GGUUAAGCGACUAAGCGUACACGGUGGAUGCCCUGGCAGUCAGAGGCGAUGAAGGACGUGCUAAUCUGCGAUAAGCGUCGGUAAGGUGAUAUGAACCGUUAUAACCGGCGAUUUCCGAAUGGGGAAACCCAGUGUGUUUCGACACACUAUCAUUAACUGAAUCCAUAGGUUAAUGAGGCGAACCGGGGGAACUGAAACAUCUAAGUACCCCGAGGAAAAGAAAUCAACCGAGAUUCCCCCAGUAGCGGCGAGCGAACGGGGAGGAGCCCAGAGCCUGAAUCAGUGUGUGUGUUAGUGGAAGCGUCUGGAAAGGCGCGCGAUACAGGGUGACAGCCCCGUACACAAAAAUGCACAUGCUGUGAGCUCGAUGAGUAGGGCGGGACACGUGGUAUCCUGUCUGAAUAUGGGGGGACCAUCCUCCAAGGCUAAAUACUCCUGACUGACCGAUAGUGAACCAGUACCGUGAGGGAAAGGCGAAAAGAACCCCGGCGAGGGGAGUGAAAAAGAACCUGAAACCGUGUACGUACAAGCAGUGGGAGCACGCUUAGGCGUGUGACUGCGUACCUUUUGUAUAAUGGGUCAGCGACUUAUAUUCUGUAGCAAGGUUAACCGAAUAGGGGAGCCGAAGGGAAACCGAGUCUUAACUGGGCGUUAAGUUGCAGGGUAUAGACCCGAAACCCGGUGAUCUAGCCAUGGGCAGGUUGAAGGUUGGGUAACACUAACUGGAGGACCGAACCGACUAAUGUUGAAAAAUUAGCGGAUGACUUGUGGCUGGGGGUGAAAGGCCAAUCAAACCGGGAGAUAGCUGGUUCUCCCCGAAAGCUAUUUAGGUAGCGCCUCGUGAACUCAUCUCCGGGGGUAGAGCACUGUUUCGGCAAGGGGGUCAUCCCGACUUACCAACCCGAUGCAAACUGCGAAUACCGGAGAAUGUUAUCACGGGAGACACACGGCGGGUGCUAACGUCCGUCGUGAAGAGGGAAACAACCCAGACCGCCAGCUAAGGUCCCAAAGUCAUGGUUAAGUGGGAAACGAUGUGGGAAGGCCCAGACAGCCAGGAUGUUGGCUUAGAAGCAGCCAUCAUUUAAAGAAAGCGUAAUAGCUCACUGGUCGAGUCGGCCUGCGCGGAAGAUGUAACGGGGCUAAACCAUGCACCGAAGCUGCGGCAGCGACGCUUAUGCGUUGUUGGGUAGGGGAGCGUUCUGUAAGCCUGUGAAGGUGUGCUGUGAGGCAUGCUGGAGGUAUCAGAAGUGCGAAUGCUGACAUAAGUAACGAUAAAGCGGGUGAAAAGCCCGCUCGCCGGAAGACCAAGGGUUCCUGUCCAACGUUAAUCGGGGCAGGGUGAGUCGACCCCUAAGGCGAGGCCGAAAGGCGUAGUCGAUGGGAAACAGGUUAAUAUUCCUGUACUUGGUGUUACUGCGAAGGGGGGACGGAGAAGGCUAUGUUGGCCGGGCGACGGUUGUCCCGGUUUAAGCGUGUAGGCUGGUUUUCCAGGCAAAUCCGGAAAAUCAAGGCUGAGGCGUGAUGACGAGGCACUACGGUGCUGAAGCAACAAAUGCCCUGCUUCCAGGAAAAGCCUCUAAGCAUCAGGUAACAUCAAAUCGUACCCCAAACCGACACAGGUGGUCAGGUAGAGAAUACCAAGGCGCUUGAGAGAACUCGGGUGAAGGAACUAGGCAAAAUGGUGCCGUAACUUCGGGAGAAGGCACGCUGAUAUGUAGGUGAAGCGACUUGCUCGUGGAGCUGAAAUCAGUCGAAGAUACCAGCUGGCUGCAACUGUUUAUUAAAAACACAGCACUGUGCAAACACGAAAGUGGACGUAUACGGUGUGACGCCUGCCCGGUGCCGGAAGGUUAAUUGAUGGGGUCAGCGCAAGCGAAGCUCUUGAUCGAAGCCCCGGUAAACGGCGGCCGUAACUAUAACGGUCCUAAGGUAGCGAAAUUCCUUGUCGGGUAAGUUCCGACCUGCACGAAUGGCGUAAUGAUGGCCAGGCUGUCUCCACCCGAGACUCAGUGAAAUUGAACUCGCUGUGAAGAUGCAGUGUACCCGCGGCAAGACGGAAAGACCCCGUGAACCUUUACUAUAGCUUGACACUGAACAUUGAGCCUUGAUGUGUAGGAUAGGUGGGAGGCUUUGAAGUGUGGACGCCAGUCUGCAUGGAGCCGACCUUGAAAUACCACCCUUUAAUGUUUGAUGUUCUAACGUUGACCCGUAAUCCGGGUUGCGGACAGUGUCUGGUGGGUAGUUUGACUGGGGCGGUCUCCUCCUAAAGAGUAACGGAGGAGCACGAAGGUUGGCUAAUCCUGGUCGGACAUCAGGAGGUUAGUGCAAUGGCAUAAGCCAGCUUGACUGCGAGCGUGACGGCGCGAGCAGGUGCGAAAGCAGGUCAUAGUGAUCCGGUGGUUCUGAAUGGAAGGGCCAUCGCUCAACGGAUAAAAGGUACUCCGGGGAUAACAGGCUGAUACCGCCCAAGAGUUCAUAUCGACGGCGGUGUUUGGCACCUCGAUGUCGGCUCAUCACAUCCUGGGGCUGAAGUAGGUCCCAAGGGUAUGGCUGUUCGCCAUUUAAAGUGGUACGCGAGCUGGGUUUAGAACGUCGUGAGACAGUUCGGUCCCUAUCUGCCGUGGGCGCUGGAGAACUGAGGGGGGCUGCUCCUAGUACGAGAGGACCGGAGUGGACGCAUCACUGGUGUUCGGGUUGUCAUGCCAAUGGCACUGCCCGGUAGCUAAAUGCGGAAGAGAUAAGUGCUGAAAGCAUCUAAGCACGAAACUUGCCCCGAGAUGAGUUCUCCCUGACUCCUUGAGAGUCCUGAAGGAACGUUGAAGACGACGACGUUGAUAGGCCGGGUGUGUAAGCGCAGCGAUGCGUUGAGCUAACCGGUACUAAUGAACCGUGAGGCUUAACCUUACAACGCCGAAGAUGUUUUG
This 2924-nucleotide ribosomal RNA is filed under the name Escherichia coli. Its description in RNAcentral is "LSU rRNA". It matches the Rfam family "Bacterial large subunit ribosomal RNA". The record is from RNAcentral. Lineage: Bacteria; Pseudomonadati; Pseudomonadota; Gammaproteobacteria; Enterobacterales; Enterobacteriaceae.